AACGAACGCUGGCGGCAUGCCUAACACAUGCAAGUCGAACGAGACCUUCCGGUCUAGUGGCGCACCGGUGCGUAACGCGUUGAAACCUGCCCUUAGGUUCGGAAUAACUCCCCGAAAGGGGUGCUAAUACCGGAUAAUGUCUUCGGACCAAAGAUUGUUCGCCUUUGGAUGGGCCCGCGUUGGAUUAGCGGGUUGGUAGGGUAAAAGCAUACCAAGGCGACGAUCCAUAGCUGGGCUGAGAGGAUGAUCAGCCACACUGGGACUGAGACACGGCCCAGACUCCUACGGGAGGGAGCAGUAGGGAAUAUUGGACGAUGGGCGAAAGCCUGAUGAAGCAAUGCCGCGUGAGUGAUGAAGGCCUUAGGGUUGUAAAGCUCUUUUAGCCGGGAUGAUAAUGACAGUACCGGGAGAAUAAGCGCCGGCUAACUACGUG
RNAcentral lists this ribosomal RNA (433 nucleotides) under uncultured bacterium. RNAcentral's name for it is "partial 16S ribosomal RNA". It matches the Rfam family "Bacterial small subunit ribosomal RNA", at positions 29 to 507 of the family's 1533-position model. The record is from RNAcentral.